Molecule: ribosomal RNA, 224 nt
Filed under: uncultured bacterium
Lineage: Bacteria
Description: partial 16S ribosomal RNA
Rfam family: Bacterial small subunit ribosomal RNA
Source: RNAcentral
ACGCUCGACACCUACGGGAGGCAGCAGUAGGGAAUCUUCGGCAAUGGACGAAAGUCUGACCGAGCAACGCCGCGUGAGUGAAGAAGGUUUUCGGAUCGUAAAACUCUGUUGGUAGAGAAGAACGUUGGUGAGAGUGGAAAGCUCAUCAAGUGACGGUAACUACCCAGAAAGGGACGGCUAACUACGUACCAGCAGCCGCGGUAAUCUGAGCGGGCUGGCAAGGC